Non-coding RNA from Cajanus cajan (pigeon pea), 1145 nucleotides. Lineage: Eukaryota; Viridiplantae; Streptophyta; Magnoliopsida; Fabales; Fabaceae. The record is from RefSeq and is a predicted model, not a curated record.
UCUAGUUUCUGGGUAGGGUUUAAGCUUAAAUUUCCGGUUCUCGGUUAACAAUCCUUUUCUCAUGUUGCUCUACUUCGAGCUUCACAAUCACAGUUCACAGGUCAGAUUCAGAACACCACAAAGUGAUAUCAGUGUAUAUACUAAUGUAAAUUUCCCUCCCAAAAGUAAGGGAUGUAGGCAGUGCAUAAUCGAAAAUCAGAAUUCAAAAUUUGAAAUUUCAAACUAAAGAUCUACACUUCACUAAGAAUUUGCCACAAGUAUUUGAGAUAUCGUAUUGGUAGGAAGCAGAGCCCAGCAAAUCAGAAAAAAGACAAAACGUUAGUUUGAUUCCGACAUUCAGAAGUUGGGAAAUAUGGCGUGGAGGCUUUUGACAGCACGGCCUCUCACUAAAUUUAACUUCAACAACAAUCUCUCCUCAAAUUCUUGGCUUCUCACACCCCUCAUUUUCUUCUCCAAUUCCUUAUUCCCCAAAACAAGGUAUGUGGCCAGGAAUCUAUUAUUGGUCACCUUUAUUACAUGAAAGCAUCUCCUUUCUUGGGGAACAUAAGCUUUCACUCAAAUUCAUUUCUAAAGUAUAACGACAAGGUUGUAGAGCAACAACAUCAGGAUUCUGAAAAGGCCCCAUGUGCUAGUGGAGAUGGCAAUGCCAAAGUAAAGAGGAAAAAACUAAAGGGGAAAAGAGCAGUUGUAAGAUGGCUGAAGUUUUUUAGAUUUAAGAAGAAGAAAGAGUAUGAAAGGAUGACAGCUGAAGGAAAAAUUUUAUAUAAAUUGUUAAAGGUAAGUUCUAUUUGUUUUAUUUUAAUUUACAUAUAUUGAUCCUUUCUAUUGUUUCCAAAUAGUAUGAUUAUGCCGAGUCUUUCCUUUUGCACCAUUGCCAUCCUGUGCAUGCUAUAUCUAGAUACAUUUGUGUUUCUAUUUUGUAUUUUGCAUACUACACAUGGCUUAUAUUUACUCUUUAGCGACAAGAACUGGGAUCCUCACACUUUGUAACUGUGAUCUGUAGACUAAUGUUAAAGGUAUGAAUUUCUUAAAAUAGUAAAGCUCUUGAUGAAAAUAAAUCUAUUGUUGUAAUGUUGGGAAGUUAGUCAUGCAAUUUCUUGAUUAUGUAUGCAAAAGCCUGUUGCUUAAGAAUUCAACCAGAAUAC